AUUAAACGCUGGCGGCAUGCCUUACACAUGCAAGUCGAACGGCAGCACGGGGCAACCUGGUGGCGAGUGGCGAACGGGUGAGUAAUGCAUCGGAACGUGCCAUUGAGUGGGGGAUAACGUAGCGAAAGUUGCGCUAAUACCGCAUAUUCUGUGAGCAGGAAAGCAGGGGGACCGCAAGACCUUGCGCUCUGGGAGCGGCCGAUGUCGGAUUAGCUAGUUGGUGGGGUAAAGGCCUACCAGGGCGACGAUCCGUAGCGGGUCUGAGAGGAUGAUCCGCCACACUGGGACUGAGACACGGCCCAGACUCCUACGGGAGGCAGCAGUGGGGAAUUUUGGACAAUGGGCGAAAGCCUGAUCCAGCCAUGCCGCGUGAGUGAAGAAGGCC
RNAcentral lists this ribosomal RNA (385 nucleotides) under uncultured bacterium. RNAcentral describes it as "bacterial SSU rRNA". It matches the Rfam family "Bacterial small subunit ribosomal RNA", at positions 29 to 416 of the family's 1533-position model. The record is from RNAcentral.